Molecule: long non-coding RNA, 3167 nt
Filed under: Homo sapiens (human)
Lineage: Eukaryota; Metazoa; Chordata; Mammalia; Primates; Hominidae
Description: non-protein coding lnc-ZADH2-3:1
Source: RNAcentral
CCUUCCCUUCUCAUUGCCUUGUGGGGAUUUCCACUGUUUACAAGUAAUUGGUGCAGUGAACAUGUUCUGCUUACGUCUAUUUAAAAUGUCUGUAUCAUAGAGAAAAAAGAAAAGUUCAGUACAUUUGAACAUUUGGAGGCACUGGGGGUAUCACAGUAGUAGUGGUCAUAAUAGAGAAGUUAUUUAGACUCUUGUGUGCUGCCCUGCUACCACAUGAAGGGAACUAAGACUAUUAUUCUUCAUUGUAAUAUUUAAUAUGUGCCCAUUCCAGAAUCAACAAAAGGAAAAAAAAAGUUGCAUCUGAAAAUAUUAAAAUCCAAAUUUUGGCAGCAAAUUUUCAGUUGAGACAAUCAAUUCGGUCCCAGUAAAGGCAGUAGCAAAAGGUCAAAACAAAAUCAUUAAAGAAGUUUCUAAAGCUUCUAGAAGCCUCAUUAAAAACCAUAUCCUGUUAAAAGUAUGAAAACCCUGGAGAGUCAGGUGAGAGAGCAUGAAGCAUGUGUGUUGGGAGUAUUCCCAUUAGCAAGAAAAUGGGAGACCUCCCUGGGUUUAGAGAGAACUUAAUUCCAAAGCUUCUUAACGCGCAGCAAAACAGACAGGCAGGAAAUGCCCUACAGAAGCUUUCAUUUACAGAAGUGGCAAUGUUAUCGUAAUGAUUUUGUUGAAGAUUAAAGCAAACAAGAUUUUUAGGUAUCUGUAACGGUAGAACAAUUGUAUCAGUGACCCAAACUUUCUCCUUCCUUGGAUAAGAGGAAAUCAGCAUCAAAACAACACUUUCUUUCUACCUCAGCCCUGCUUGUAAGUUUUCAUACCUUGAUAAAUGAGACUUCUAAAUAAGGUCUAUGCUACUGUUCAAGAGGGCAUUGACCUCCAUGUGAGCAGCAGAAAUAAUGAAAACAAGAGCCACAAUUCAUUGAGGACCUACUAAGACUGCAUUGAUUUUUCCAUCUUGUGAAUUACCUAAUUGCUUACUAUUUUAAAAUAUGUAAGCAUUAAGUGUGGUAGGUAGGAAUCAAGGAAGUUGCAGUUAAAUCAUUUUCUUGCAGCCACAUAUUGAAGCGUUUGGAUCGGCAGCAGGCAGCUUUGGAAGACGUGAGCUGGACAUUUCCAAGAUCAUUGUCAGUCAGCCCUUCUUGGGCACCACUGGCUUCUGAAGAGGACUCUGGAGCACUGUCCUCCUGCCUGCUGUAUGCAGCUGGCAUUCAGUGGAUGUCUUAUGGCCAUUCAGUGCUUCCACCACCCAUUUCCCAUUUGGCCUCAAACACUCUUCUACUGCUGCUGGGAAGGCAAUAUUAGCCAGGAUGGUCAUCUGGAGCCAUCAGCUUAACCAUAGCCAGUGGGGGGUUAAAAAGAAUCUAUCAGUAUUGUUUUUUCUUGAACAUUUUAAUUCUCUGAAUUGAAUCCAAGAGGGACUAGGUCAUAUCAAACAGGCUGUGGGUUUCAGCUGUGGUCUGAGAGUGCCUGCCCUUGUGUUGACCUUCCUAUUUCAGAGAGGUCUGGAGACUGUGGCACCUCGGCAGAGUCAUGCCAUCUAUUCAGCAGCAGGGAAUACCACUGCUUAUCCACAGAAGCACCCCCAAUCUCCUGUAAAAAAUAACCUUUAAGGAUUCAGGCUUUGUUCUUUACUUGUCUAUAUCAGGUCUUCUUAACCUGGGAAUUCAGAAACCCUCCCUCUAAUUCCCUCAAAAGUGUGGGCCACCUUUCAGAAAAGUACUGAUAUUUUACUAACAGGGAUUUUGAGGAAAGUAUUGAUAUUUCAGUAACAGGGAUUUUGCUUUCCUCAUAAUCUCAAAGACGUGAACAAAUGAAAACCAUGAAAGAGAUUACCAGGAGAUUAGGGUUGUGAUCUAGCAUUAUUUGUAAUUUUACAGAAUUAUCGUGUAUGACAGCAGGAAGAGCCAGCAAGCUCAUCUAUUAAUAUAAAGUUGUUUCUUUCAUUUCGUAUUCAAGGAAACUUAAGUACAGUGAGGUUAAGUGAUUCCCCUGAAUCCUGACCAUGAGCAAAAUGCCUGGGUUCCAGACCCACUAGCUCAUAGUUCGAAGGGCUUUUCAUUUGCUAAUAUGCCUCUACUUUUUACAAAUUUCCAACCAUUCAUUAUAAAUAUUUAUUUCAAAUGUGUGUUUGUCAGAAAGAAAUGUACCUACUGAAAAUAUCAUAAAUAGUUUCUUCUGUACUAUCUCAAAUUUUCUUGCCCUAUUAGCCACACAAUUCCAUUUCUAGUUUUCUUCGCGUUCUUCUCUGUUUGUUUUUGUAAGUGGACACCAUGGCUGGCUGUAGACUUCCUUGAUUUUUCCACAGUUUGCUUCCCAAGCUUUAGAUUGUCCUUUCUUUUUACACACUAGUGUGCUGUCUAAUUUGCAUACUGAAAUGAAACCUUUAUAUAAAACACCUUAAAAGUUCUAGUAUUUCUUCUUUAUUUCUGACUUUUAUUUUUGGAAUACAUUAACUCUAAUUUGAAAUCUUAUUUUAAGGCCAGACAUUCUAACUGAAACGUUCCUUAAGAAAGACUUCUAAUUACUAUGUUAUUGUAUGACACCUUGCCUGGGUAAGAGGAAAGAAAAGAAAAAAAUAAGGACAAACCUGUUAAAGAUAAAGAAAGCAGAUGUGUAUAAAGAAUUAGGUUCAUUCGACACUGAUAUUUCUGAAGAAAACUUUAAAAAUAUUGUAAGUAAAAUAAAAUCAGGAGAAAAUGAAAUCUUUACAGAAAAUAAAGAUAAGGCAACAGGUUUUGAUACACUUCUACCCGGGUUAAAAAAGUAAUUCAUAAACUGUCUUAUCUAAUUAAGACGAUCUAAAAGGGUACACUAUGUGUCAAAGAGACAGAGCGUCUUAAUUACAAAAGGUUAAUAUCACAGUCAGAGUCAAGAAAUAGGUGGAAAGAUCACUCUAAUAAAUACUACCUGGAAAUUCACCCAAAGGCAGCAGAUACAGAAAGUCUACAUUGUAGAUUUUUCACCAGUAUAUGACGAAAAUUUGGUUACUAUAACGGCCCUAAAUACAGAGGUAACCAAUUCGUGCUCAGAGCAUGAUGCUGGGGAUAAGAUCACCCUAAUAUGUGGAAAGACAUAUCAAGACAAUUAUGAUGACUAUAUGGACAAAAGAAGGUCAUAAAUAAGGUCAAAUGUUCUAAAAGAAGCCAAAGGAGCAAUGUAAGAAUUCUGAAUUUUAU